RNAcentral lists this ribosomal RNA (468 nucleotides) under uncultured bacterium. RNAcentral describes it as "partial 16S ribosomal RNA". It matches the Rfam family "Bacterial small subunit ribosomal RNA", at positions 28 to 507 of the family's 1533-position model. The record is from RNAcentral.
GACGAACGCUGGCGGCGUGCUUAACACAUGCAAGUCGAACGGAAAGGCCCUGCUUUUGUGGGGUGCUCGAGUGGCGAACGGGUGAGUAACACGUGAGUAACCUGCCCUUGACUUUGGGAUAACUUCAGGAAACUGGGGCUAAUACCGGAUAGGAGCUCCUGCUGCAUGGUGGGGGUUGGAAAGUUUCGGCGGUUGGGGAUGGACUCGCGGCUUAUCAGCUUGUUGGUGGGGUAGUGGCUUACCAAGGCUUUGACGGGUAGCCGGCCUGAGAGGGUGACCGGCCACAUUGGGACUGAGAGACGGCCCAGACUCGUACGGGAGGCAGCAGUGGGGAAUAUUGCACAAUGGGCGGAAGCCUGAUGCAGCAACGCCGCGUGCGGGAUGACGGCCUUCUGGUUGUAAACCGCUUUCGCCUGUGACGAAGCGUGAGUGACGGUAAUGAGUAAAGAAGCACCGGCUAACUACGUG